UCUACGGGUGGCAGCAGUGGGGAAUAUUGCACAAUGGGGGAAACCCUGAUGCAGCAACGCCGCGUGGGUGAAGAAGUAUUUCGGUAUGUAAAGCCCUAUCAGCAGGGAAGAGAAUGACGGUACCUGACUAAGAAGCCCCGGCUAACUACGUGCCAGCAGCCGCGGUAAUACGUAGGGGGCAAGCGUUCUCCGGAUUUACUGGGUGGAAAGGGAGCGUAGAGGGUUGUGCAAGUCUGAAGUGAAAGCCCGGGGCUCAACUGCGGAACGGCUUUGGAAACUGUGUAACUGGAGUGCUGGAGUGGUAAGCGGAAUUCCUGGUGUAGCGGUGAAAUGCGUAGAGAUCAGGAGGAACACGGCGGCGAAGGCGGCUUACUGGACAGUAACUGACGUUGAGGCUCGAAAGCGUGGGGAGCAAACAGGAUUAGAUACCCUAGUAGUC
Molecule: ribosomal RNA, 439 nt
Filed under: uncultured bacterium
Lineage: Bacteria
Description: partial 16S ribosomal RNA
Rfam family: Bacterial small subunit ribosomal RNA
Source: RNAcentral